AAUCUUCAAAGAUGGAUUUUAAAGAUGGAUACUAAUGGUGCAAGCAGAUAAGUAUCAACAUGGGCAUAGGAAUAAUGCUUCACGGAUGCCUCACGAUGGUCAGAUAAAGUGACACCUAACCGAAAUCUAUAUCAACUAUAAACAAAAGAUAAAACAGAUAAUACUCCUAGAAGUGUUAUCAAAGUGUUGAUGGCCAAACGAGAAACGCUUAAGGCUUUUGGUAAAGCAUACUGAAUUGCAAGAUGCGAAGCUAAAUCUACAGCAAAUAUUUGCUUUUCUGGUUCUGGCUGUGACAGUAAUUCAGGAAUCCAAUCAAGACAAAUAUGCAUGGAUGGAACGCCAGUAACUGUAAUGGGUAACAGCUCUCUUGGAUAACCCUAUAAGUAAAGAAAUAUGGAAGAAUAUGUAGCGGACAAAGGAGAGAUAACAGAACUGAUUGAAAGUCUGGAUUUAUUUCAGAGAAAAGAACCUGACUCUAAAUGCGAGAAAAUUAAAGAUAAACGAAAUUCAAGGCAGGGGAUAGAAAAACGAAGGAGGAGAAAUGGAAAUGGAAGCAGGAAGAAUUAGAGGAGCUUCGCUUGAUAACUGACCAAUCUUUUCUAUCAAUGGUUUGUCUUGUAUAUGUCUAGAUAACUGAGAUCGAGAAGCUGCUAAUGCAGCUUGUAGAAUUCUGAAAAUAUUUGUACCAAUGAAGUACCAAUUGAUAAUAAGUAAUUGAACGUUAAAUAUUUAAAGGCUUACUCAAUCUCUU
Long non-coding RNA from Bombus pyrosoma, 751 nucleotides. RefSeq lists it as uncharacterized. Lineage: Eukaryota; Metazoa; Arthropoda; Insecta; Hymenoptera; Apidae. The record is from RefSeq and is a predicted model, not a curated record. The transcript is spliced from 4 exons.